Molecule: transfer RNA, 82 nt
Filed under: Candidatus Gottesmanbacteria bacterium
Lineage: Bacteria; Candidatus Gottesmaniibacteriota
Description: tRNA-Leu
Rfam family: tRNA
About the family: Transfer RNA (tRNA) molecules are approximately 80 nucleotides in length. Their secondary structure includes four short double-helical elements and three loops (D, anti-codon, and T loops).
Source: RNAcentral
GCCGAGGUGGCGAAAUUGGCAGACGCGCAUGGUUUAGGGCCAUGUGGGGUAACCCGUGAGAGUUCAAAUCUCUCCUUCGGCA